Molecule: ribosomal RNA, 460 nt
Filed under: uncultured bacterium
Lineage: Bacteria
Description: partial 16S ribosomal RNA
Rfam family: Bacterial small subunit ribosomal RNA
Source: RNAcentral
CCUACGGGAGGCAGCAGUGAGGAAUAUUGGUCAAUGGACGCAAGUCUGAACCAGCCAUGCCGCGUGCAGGAAGACGGCCCUAUGAGUUGUAAACUGCUUUUGUACGAGGGUAAACGCAGAUACGCGUAUCUGUCUGAAAGUAUCGUACGAAUAAGGAUCGGCUAACUCCGUGCCAGCAGCCGCGGUAAUACGGAGGAUUCAAGCGUUAUCCGGAUUUAUUGGGGUUAAAGGGUGCGUAGGCGGUCGGAUAAGUUAGAGGUGAAAUUCCGAGGCUCAACUUCGGAAUUGCAGCUGAUACUGUUCGGCUAGAGAGUAGUUGCGGUAGGCGGAAUGUGUGGUGUAGCGGUGAAAUGCUUAGAGAUCAUACAGAACACCGAUUGCGAAGGCAGCUUACCAGGCUACUUCUGACGUUGAGGCACGAAAGCGUGGGGAGCAAACAGGAUUAGAUACCCCUGUAGUC